Molecule: non-coding RNA, 65 nt
Organism: Dipodomys ordii (Ord's kangaroo rat)
Lineage: Eukaryota; Metazoa; Chordata; Mammalia; Rodentia; Heteromyidae
Source: Rfam
GGUGGCUCAGUGGUAGAGCACUGGCCUUGCAUGCUUAAGGCCCUGGGUUCAAUUCCUCAGCACCA